GACGAACGCUGGCGGCGUGCUUAACACAUGCAAGUUGAACGGAAAGGCCCUGCUUGCGGGGUACUCGAGUGGCGAACGGGUGAGUAACACGUGGGUGAUCUGCCCUGCACUUCGGGAUAAGCUUGGGAAACUGGGUCUAAUACCGGAUAGGAGCCAUCUUUAGUGUGGUGGUUGGAAAGUUUUUUCGGUGUAGGAUGAGCUCGCGGCCUAUCAGCUUGUUGGUGGGGUAAUGGCCUACCAAGGCGGCGACGGGUAGCCGGCCUGAGAGGGUGUACGGCCACAUUGGGACUGAGAUACGGCCCAGACUCCUACGGGAGGCAGCAGGGGGGAAUAUUGCACAAUGGGCGCAAGCCUGAUGCAGCGACGCCGCGUGGGGGAUGAAGGCCUUCGGGUUGUAAACUCCUUUCGCUAGGGACGAAGCUUUUUUGUGACGGUACCUAGAUAAGAAGCACCGGCUAACUACGUG
This 466-nucleotide ribosomal RNA is filed under the name uncultured bacterium. RNAcentral describes it as "partial 16S ribosomal RNA". It matches the Rfam family "Bacterial small subunit ribosomal RNA", at positions 28 to 507 of the family's 1533-position model. The record is from RNAcentral.